This 500-nucleotide ribosomal RNA is filed under the name Acinetobacter sp. RNAcentral describes it as "bacterial SSU rRNA". It matches the Rfam family "Bacterial small subunit ribosomal RNA", at positions 85 to 580 of the family's 1533-position model. Lineage: Bacteria; Pseudomonadati; Pseudomonadota; Gammaproteobacteria; Moraxellales; Moraxellaceae. The record is from RNAcentral.
CUAUCACCUAGCGGCGGACGGGUGAGUAAUGCUUAGGAAUCUGCCUAUUAGUGGGGGACAACAUUUCGAAAGGAAUGCUAAUACCGCAUACGUCCUACGGGAGAAAGCAGGGGAUCUUCGGACCUUGCGCUAAUAGAUGAGCCUAAGUCGGAUUAGCUAGUUGGUGGGGUAAAGGCCUACCAAGGCGACGAUCUGUAGCGGGUCUGAGAGGAUGAUCCGCCACACUGGGACUGAGACACGGCCCAGACUCCUACGGGAGGCAGCAGUGGGGAAUAUUGGACAAUGGGCGCAAGCCUGAUCCAGCCAUGCCGCGUGUGUGAAGAAGGCCUUAUGGUUGUAAAGCACUUUAAGCGAGGAGGAGGCUACUUUAGAUAAUACCUAGAGAUAGUGGACGUUACUCGCAGAAUAAGCACCGGCUAACUCUGUGCCAGCAGCCGCGGUAAUACAGAGGGUGCAAGCGUUAAUCGGAUUUACUGGGCGUAAAGCGCGCGUAGGCGGCU